This 435-nucleotide long non-coding RNA is filed under the name Equus caballus (horse). RNAcentral's name for it is "lncRNA (ENSECAG00000051603.1)". The record is from RNAcentral. Lineage: Eukaryota; Metazoa; Chordata; Mammalia; Perissodactyla; Equidae.
AACAGAAGCAGGAGAAAGAUAAGAGUAGACAGGGAUGAAACGUCAAUGUACCAGAUCUUUGAACCUAGGUUCAAUUGCUGGCUCUGGAGAUAGAAGCAUACAAAGACUACAAAAGAUGACCCAAAAUUUUAACAUGUUUUAGAAGUCCUAGAUUUGUAUUAUGAGCAAGCUGCCAUGAGCUUUACUGUCACAAAGAAAUGAAUUAUGCCAAGAAUCAGAAGGAGCUCAGAAGCAGAUCCUUUCCUCAUCAAGCCUCCAAGUGCGACUGCAGCCAGCCAGCCUUGAGCACAGCCUUGUGAGCCCCUAAAGAGAAAACUCAGACGAUGCCUAGACUCCUGACCUCCCGAAACUGUUAGAUAACAACGUGUGUUUUAAACGACCAAGUUUGUGGUAAUCUAUUACACAAUCUACAAAACUAAUAUAUGAAUCCACUAG